UCGAUUCCCGGUUUCUGUA
Molecule: small nuclear RNA, 19 nt
Filed under: Phaeodactylum tricornutum CCAP 1055/1
Lineage: Eukaryota; Bacillariophyta; Bacillariophyceae; Surirellales; Neidiaceae
Description: snRNA PTsRNA00045a
Source: RNAcentral